Long non-coding RNA from Astatotilapia calliptera (eastern happy), 1767 nucleotides. The record is from Ensembl. Lineage: Eukaryota; Metazoa; Chordata; Actinopteri; Cichliformes; Cichlidae.
AUUUGAAAGUCAGUUGGCGGUGGAUGUGUGCACUGAGGCUGUGCGUCUUCACGUUCCAAAGAAAAGGAGCGGUGGAACUCAAAUCUGGAAUCACAAUAUCACUGUGGAGCAAGAAUAUCAGCACAUUAAUUACACCUCGGCCAAAUAAACUCAGUCCUGACUUGCUUAAUAAAGACCACAUGCAUAAUGCAAGGAUUGUGUCUUUAGCUGAGGUAAAGAGGCAGCCGUAACAUAGAGGGAAGAGGGAAAACACCGAUGGGACACAGUAGAAUGAAGCCUGAGCUUAGCUGUUGUUAUAUAGACAACUGGGCAAUUAGAGUUCAGCAGGUGGGUUUUAGAAUAUAAAGGCUCAUGAUGAUGUUGUACAAAAGUCUCAAGACACCUUUUUGAAAGGAAUGUUUUUUGUUUAACCACUAAAUACUGACCUAUGUAUCAUUAAAGCAUGAUAAGGGAUCUGCAAGUGUUGUGUCUACACAUAACAGAGAACUUGGCAAAUACCAGAUUUUAAAUUGUAUCUUUAGGCACUCUAUUACUAGCAGCCUGUUGCAAAAACACAUUUAUUCCACUGUCUUUAGCCAAAGAUAACAACUUGGCAGACACCAACAAGGUGAUUCUCAAAAUGUAUUAGGCAAAAACCUGGCAUACCUCACUGUGGUGUGCAGUGUGUCCUUGAUAAAUUAGAGACAACUGUACAAGAGGAGGACAAAAGAAGUGACAGAGCUAAAACAAACAAAAAAACAAACAAAAAAAACAAACUAUGAACAGUUUCUGAAAGCCAUGUACUUAAGAAAACAGGAAAAAAAAAAUUUUUUUAAAAAUUAAAAAAAAAAAAAAAACAAAUCCAGCAACGACCUGACACAGGACCUGAGAGAUACAUCUGGACCUUCAGUAGAUCCAUGUACUGUUCACCAAAACCUCACCACAAAUGGUCUCAGUGAAAGGGUGGCUAUCAAGAAGCCAUUUUUUAGGAAAGGAAACAGGGAGAAAAGGCAGAUUUCUAUAAGAACUGAAACUACAAUCCAUGCCUGACAGAGUGGUGAAUCCAAAUUUUACAUAUUUGGUUAAAAGUUUACUAAAAUUAAUUAAAAUACAAAGAAUAUCAGGAGAGAAUGCUCAACAGUGAGUGUCUGCAGACAUCUGUAAAACACAGUGAUGCUGUCAUGAUCCAGGGCUGCAUUUUGUCAAAAUUCAUUGAAUUAUGAACACAGAAAAGUACCAUCAGAUUCACCAUGCAAUACCAUAUGGAAAGCACCUGGUUUCCAACAGCUUCAGUAUUUAGCAUGAUUUAGCAUUUUAGGGAGCAUAAAGGCAGUAAUGUUUUUUUAAAUGUAACAUCUACUUAUAUCUUCUUAAAUUCAGUUGGGAUCACAGAUCCUGAAGUUCAGUUCACCUGACACUCGGACCGGCAGCCGCCACGGGUGUUAUGAGUGGCUGUGUGCAGACAGGAAUAGGACCCAAGGUGCAGACUCCAGAGACAGUCGUGAACUCAAAACAGCUUUAAUGUUAAACUCAAAAUAUAACAUAACUGGAAAAAAAUCAAAAUAAACUUAAACCGGAGGACUGACAGAACACACAGCUAGGUAAACAGUAGAUCACGACACGGACACAGAGAAACACAGGGCUUAAAUACACAAAGGGAGCAAUCAGGGAAUGGGUAACAGGAGGGAAACACAGCUGGGGCAAAUCAGGCCUAACGAGACAAGGGGAAGCGAAACCAGACACAUUAACAUGAGACAUGGACUUUCAAAGUAAAACAGGAAACAUAAC